Molecule: long non-coding RNA, 560 nt
Organism: Canis lupus familiaris (dog)
Lineage: Eukaryota; Metazoa; Chordata; Mammalia; Carnivora; Canidae
Exons: 3
Source: RefSeq, a predicted model, not a curated record
CUCAUGACCACACUUAGGUGUAGAAAGACUACUGAGGUCACAGAAUGGAAAGUGGAUGGGCUGGAAGUGGAGCAAACACUAAUGAUAAAAAUGGCCCCAGAUGAAGGUAGAGUGUGGGAACCAGGAGAAAUGGGCAAGUUGGAGAGCUGAUUUGGAGAAGAGUUGUUUACUACUCUGUAGCAUUUUGAAAACUCCUGCUUCCCAGAUAGAUAGAAAACCUCCUGAUGGUACCCAUAUUGCUGGUCAACUAGAAAAGAAACCACUGGACAAAUCUCAAUAAGGAACGUUCUACAAAAUAACUGGGCAGAUUUCUUCAAAACUCUCAAGAGCAUCAAAAACAAGGGCAGUCUGAGUGAUUGUCACAGUCAAGAUGAUGCUUAAGGGAACAAGACAAUCAAAUGCAGUGAGGUAUCUGGAUGAGAUCCUGGAAGACAAAAAGUACAUUCAAUAAAAACUAAGGGGAUCUGAAUAAAACUCGGACUUCAGUUAACAACAAUGUUACAAAAUUGGUUCAUUAAUCGUGACAUACGUACCAUGUUAGAUGAUAAUAAAAAAGGGAA